Molecule: ribosomal RNA, 687 nt
Filed under: uncultured bacterium
Lineage: Bacteria
Description: bacterial SSU rRNA
Rfam family: Bacterial small subunit ribosomal RNA
Source: RNAcentral
AAGUCGCGCGGGUAGCAAUACUAGCGGCGCACGGGUGAGUAAUGCACAGGAAUCUGCCUCUAGGUGGGGAAUAGCUCGGGGAAACUCGAAUUAAUACCGCAUGAUGCCUAAGGGUUAAAGCAGUAAUGCGCCAAGAGAUGAGCCUGUGUCCGAUUAGCUAGUUGGAGAGGUAAUGGCUCACCAAGGCUACGAUCGGUAACUGGUCUGAGAGGACGAUCAGUCACAGUGGAACUGAGACACGGUCCACACUCCUACGGGAGGCAGCAGUGGGGAAUUUUCCGCAAUGGGCGCAAGCCUGACGGAGCGAUACCGCGUGUAGGAUUAAGGCCCUAGGGUCGUAAACUACUGUCGGAGGGGAAGAAACAAAUGACGGUACCCUCAAAGGAAGCACCGGCUAACUCUGUGCCAGCAGCCGCGGUAAGACAGAGGGUGCAAGCGUUGUCCGGAAUUAUUGGGCGUAAAACGUCUGUAGGCGGUUCAUCAAGUCUAAUGUUAAAUGGUGGAGCUCAACUUCGCCAUGCAUUGGAAACUGACGGACUAGAGUGCGUUAGGGGUUAUUGGAAUUCCCGGUGUAGUGGUGAAAUACGUAGAUAUCGGGAGGAACUCCAGAGGCGAAAGCGAAUAACUGGGGCGUAACUGACGCUGAGAGACGAAAGCGUGGGGAGCAAAAAGGAUUAGAUACCCUUG